Molecule: microRNA precursor, 59 nt
Filed under: Euprymna scolopes
Lineage: Eukaryota; Metazoa; Mollusca; Cephalopoda; Sepiida; Sepiolidae
Description: Esc-Mir-12542_pre stem-loop
Source: RNAcentral
UGCUGGAAAGCAGAGGAAGACUUUUGAUAUGUGCAUAGAUUCCGCUUCUCUCCGGUGAU